UUCGAAUAGGUAUAAAGAAUGAUGAUCUUUAUACUGAAUAGUCCAGUCUCAUCUCCGUGCCAGCAGUCGCGGUAAUACGGAAUCGGGCGACCCAUCGGAGUUAUAAAUAGGUGUACAGGGUACGUAGCUUGUGAUAAUAAUUUCACUAGAAUAAUAUUGAGGUAGAACCAACACUUAGAGGAGGGCUAAUAUUCUUUGAUACUAAGGGGUGUACUAAAGGCGUAAGCAUUCUACCAAAUAUAUAUUGACUGUAAGGUACGAAAGCAAGAGCAUGGAACCGGAUUCGAUACCCGGAUACUUCUUGCCGUAAACGAUGCAGACUAUGAGAUCAGUAGAUAAACUAUUGGUUUUCGUUGCUAACGCUAGAGUCUGCCACCUGCAUAGUACAGUCGAAAGACCGAAACGUCAAUGAUUAGACCGUUCUCAGGCACAUGGAGUGAAGUAUGCCGUUUAAUACGAUAGCCCGCGUAAAAUCUUACCACUUCUUGCAUCUUUUCUAAAUUAGUAGAUCUGACAGGUGUUGCAUGGCUGUCGUCAGUUAGUGUUCGUGAGACCUAUGGUUGAUUCCGUAUAACUAACGCAAACCUCGCUAUGAAUAUAUA
RNAcentral lists this ribosomal RNA (602 nucleotides) under Cryptococcus wingfieldii. RNAcentral's name for it is "partial small subunit ribosomal RNA". It matches the Rfam family "Bacterial small subunit ribosomal RNA", at positions 431 to 1120 of the family's 1533-position model. Lineage: Eukaryota; Fungi; Basidiomycota; Tremellomycetes; Tremellales; Cryptococcaceae. The record is from RNAcentral.